UAGCACCUACGGGACGCAGCAGUGAGGAAUAUUGGUCAAUGGUCGGGAGACUGAACCAGCCACGCCGCGUGAGGGAGGAAGGUACGGAGUAUCGUAAACCUCUUUUGUCAGGGAACAAAGGCGGGGACGUGUCCCCGGAUGAGUGUACCUGAAGAAAAAGCAUCGGCUAACUCCGUGCCAGCAGCCGCGGUAAUACGGAGGAUGCGAGCGUUAUCCGGAUUUAUUGGGCGUAAAGGGAACGCAGGCGGUCUUUUAAGUCUGAUGUGAAAGCCUUCGGCUUAACCGGAGUAGUGCAUUGGAAAAUG
Molecule: ribosomal RNA, 305 nt
Filed under: uncultured bacterium
Lineage: Bacteria
Description: bacterial SSU rRNA
Rfam family: Bacterial small subunit ribosomal RNA
Source: RNAcentral